Molecule: RNA transcript, 1928 nt
Organism: Anolis carolinensis (green anole)
Lineage: Eukaryota; Metazoa; Chordata; Lepidosauria; Squamata; Anolidae
Gene name: putative mitochondrial transporter UCP3
Exons: 10
Source: RefSeq, a predicted model, not a curated record
AGUGCUUGAGAGAAGCCACAGAAGCUGCAGGUGGAUUCGGAAACCGAUGCCGUCGAUCACUCAAUAAUAUUUGGGAUAAUAAUACAUGGUUCCCGUCGCAAGCCUGAAACGCCGGGAUCAAGACAAAGCUAUUUCUCAGCACAGCAGCCGCAGACUGAAUGUAGCUCCGGCUGAGUCCCUUCAGUUGAGGAGACCAGGAUGGUUGGCCUCAAACCCACAGAGAUGCCUCCUUCGGCCACGGUCAAGUUCCUCAGCGCUGGCACGGCGGCCUGCAUUGCUGACCUCUGCACCUUCCCUCUGGACACGGCUAAAGUCCGGCUCCAGAUCCAAGGAGAAUCCAAGUCCUCCAGAGCGGCCAAGGAUGUCCGGUACAAGGGCGUCUUUGGCACCAUCACCACCAUGGUCAAGAUGGAAGGGCCCCGGAGUCUCUACAACGGCUUGGUGGCCGGACUCCAGCGCCAGAUGAGCUUCGCCUCCAUCCGCAUCGGGCUGUACGACUCCGUGAAGCAGUUCUACACCCCCAAGGGGUCCGACAAUGCCAGCAUCCUCACCCGAUUGCUCGCUGGUUGCACCACUGGAGCCAUGGCGGUCACAUGUGCCCAGCCCACGGAUGUGGUGAAAGUGCGCUUCCAAGCACACAUCGGCCUCGCAGGCGGACCCAAGAAGUACAACGGGACCGUGGAUGCCUACCGGACGAUCGCCAGGGAGGAAGGAGUCAGAGGCCUCUGGAAGGGAGCUGGGGCUGACAGAUGGGAGCUCACCCUAUCCUGUGGAUUCGAAUUGCCAACCUUCAGGGACACUGCCAAACAUCGCUCGCAAUGCCAUUGUCAACUGCGGGGAGAUGGUAACCUACGACCUUAUAAAGGAGACGCUGCUCAAAUACCACCUGAUGACAGACAAUUUCCCGUGCCAUUUUGUUGCCGCCUUCGGAGCCGGUUUCUGUGCGACGGUGGUGGCCUCUCCUGUGGACGUGGUGAAAACGCGGUACAUGAACUCCAUCCCGGGACAGUACAAAAAUGCCCUGAAUUGUACGCUGACCAUGGUGAUGAAAGAGGGGCCCACAGCUUUUUACAAAGGUUUCAUCCCUUCAUUCCUGCGGUUGGGGUCCUGGAACGUGGUGAUGUUCGUGUCUUUCGAGCAGCUGAAAAGGAUGAUGGUCCUGGCUCAGGUGGCCUGGGAACCCCCUUCCUGAACACAGGCGUUGGCUUUGGGAUGCGGUCGGACUUCUCCAAGGACUUCUCAAGGGGUGACAAGACGUGGAAAGACGUGGUGCGGCUUUGGGUGGGAAGCCUUGAUGAACUGCUCUUGCCAGGAGGCGAAACGGAUCAAUUAUAUUCAUUGCUUUGCCGCAGGCUCCAGGGUCCAAUGACGUGUGAUAUUAUUUAAGCUGAAAAGAGGAGACUGUCCAAAAGCAAAAGCACUGGCUGAAAAAUUUUAAAAAGUAAACGAGAGAGAAAGAAAACAGAACUAAGAUAAGGAAGGAAGAGUUGCGGUUUAUUCUGACUUCGAAGGUUCAACCACAUUGGGACGGAACACAGGCCAAAGGAGUCUAAUUGAUGGAUAUACAGUUUCCAAGUUUCCAAUGGACCUCACGACCUCUGAGGAUGCCUGGCAUAGAUGUGGGCAAAACGUCAGGAGAGAAUGCUUCUGGAACAUGGCCAAACUCACAGCAACCCAAUGUAGACUACGGUAGUUUGUGGCACUUUCAAAUUUCCAUGAAACACAGAGACGAAUCCAUUUCGCAAAAGAAGAAACCUGCGAUAGAAAGACAUGAUAAGGACAGAAAUAUUUCUUUCUCUCUCAUCCAAGACCUUCAACAAUAGGGUUUUUUUUAAGUAUAUUGUUCCACUUUCAAUAAAGUUCUUCUUUUCUACUUUGCAAGAUGUCUCUUUGAUAUUACGAGGGUUGAAUGAAAAGUAAUGCCUCCA